ACUCAGAGCUCUAGAGACAUAGACUUGAGAGUUGCAGUAGGUCCGCAGUCUGGAAGACAAGGAGAGAAAAAGGAAGAAGUAAAGAAACUUGAGCAUCACUGACAUAAACAGAAUCUCAGGAGAGGAUUCGGUCCUGAGAGCCCUGAGAGAAAAGCCUUUCAAGAUGGACAGAGCUCCAAAUACUCCAAGUCAAUCUGAGUAUUUGAUUUCUGAAACUCAAGGACAACAUCUAGUACAGAAGACCCAAAGGAAGAUAAUCAUGGACCUAUGUCAACAAUGGCUGGAAAUGGGUGACAACUUCACAAAAUCAGAAAGCUGGAAUUCUGGUGCACAGAAACAACCAGGAUGCCUGUGAUCAAAAUCAUCUUGAAGUUGAAAGGAAGACAGAGAAGAGAAAGAGAGGAGGAGGAGGAGAAAAGGAAGAAGUCAUAGAAGAGAACUUGGAAAAGGAGAAGGACGAGAAAGAAAAGAAAAAUAAGAAAUGAUACCAGAAGAAAAAAUUUGUCAGCAGACCCCUCAUGGACACUCUCUGGGCAAUGUUUAAAUUUAAAAAAAAUCCCACAUUUCAGGAUAUUUCAUCACUUGCACUUGAAUUUAGCAUGACAGAGACUCAGAUAAACCGAUGGUUUUGUACAAAGAGGAAGAUAUACAAAAAAGAAAUACACUGGAGGGCAUAUAAAAACAGAAGAGACCCAAAAUGAGGAAAUUGAAUUGUUAGGAAAGAAUGUGAGGACUUUCUUGAUGGUGCAGUGGAUAAGAACCCACCUGCCCAAUGCAGGGGAAAAGGGUCCAUCACUGGUCUGGGAGGAUUCCACAUGCCAAGGAGCAACUAAGCCGGUGAGCCACAACUACUGAGCCAGGGCUCUAGAGCCUGACAGUUGCAACUAGUGAUCCCCGGCACCACAAGGACUGAAGCCUGCCCACCUUAGAGCCAGUAUACCGCAACCACUGAGCAUGCGUGCUGCCACCACGGAAGUCUAUGGGCCUGGAGCUGUGCCCUGCAACAAGAGAAGCCACUGCGAUAAGAAGCCCAGGCACAACUAGAGAGCAGCCCCGUUCUCCAAACCCAGGGAAAGCCUGCCGGCAGCACUGAAGACCCAGUCCAAUCGAAAACAAUUAAACUUUUGAGUUAAAAAUUAAAAAAUGUGAUUUCAUCAACAA
Bubalus bubalis (water buffalo) is the source of this 1161-nucleotide RNA transcript. RefSeq lists it as uncharacterized. NCBI's taxonomy places the organism in Eukaryota, Metazoa, Chordata, Mammalia, Artiodactyla, Bovidae. The record is from RefSeq and is a predicted model, not a curated record. The transcript is spliced from 5 exons.